UGGCAAUGAGGAGAGAAUUACUGUGUUGAAUUAUGGUGAUAGUUGUAUACGCUAUUCUGAGCCAGCG
This is a small nucleolar RNA of Pteropus vampyrus (large flying fox), 67 nucleotides long. Ensembl annotates it as small nucleolar RNA, C/D box 54. Its record names the gene SNORD54. Lineage: Eukaryota; Metazoa; Chordata; Mammalia; Chiroptera; Pteropodidae. The record is from Ensembl.